RNAcentral lists this small nucleolar RNA (100 nucleotides) under Penicillium antarcticum. Its description in RNAcentral is "A. fimigatus snoRNA Afu_298". It matches the Rfam family "A. fimigatus snoRNA Afu_298". The record is from Rfam by way of RNAcentral. Lineage: Eukaryota; Fungi; Ascomycota; Eurotiomycetes; Eurotiales; Aspergillaceae.
GCGGAUGAUUAUACAUUUUUAACCCCGAGCAUCAUGUCCCUCUCUGGGACGCUUUGAAGAUUAAAAACAGCAACAACAACACUCUAAUUUUUUGAUGACG